This 253-nucleotide ribosomal RNA is filed under the name uncultured bacterium. RNAcentral's name for it is "partial 16S ribosomal RNA". It matches the Rfam family "Bacterial small subunit ribosomal RNA", at positions 524 to 776 of the family's 1533-position model. The record is from RNAcentral.
UACGUAGGGGGCUAGCGUUGUCCGGAAUUACUGGGCGUAAAGCGUGCGCAGGCGGCUUUGCAAGACAGAUGUGAAAUCCCCGGGCUCAACCUGGGAACUGCAUUUGUGACUGCAAGGCUAGAGUACGGUAGAGGGGGAUGGAAUUCCGCGUGUAGCAGUGAAAUGCGUAGAUAUGCGGAGGAACACCGAUGGCGAAGGCAAUCCCCUGGACCUGUACUGACGCUCAUGCACGAAAGCGUGGGGAGCAAACAGG